GUGUCUUGGGGAAGGAGGGUGAGCAGGCUCAAGCCCGGGGGUGGUUUGUGGGCGCGUGAGGUGGAGAAGGGGCCCAGGCUGGAUGCCAGGGGUGGGAGCAGGCUGGGGAAAGCCCCGGGCCCGACGCCGUCCGCGCCUCUGCGGCCGCCGCCACCACUGGCGCUAGCUGGGCUCCGGGAAGCUAGUCCGGAGCGGAGGAAUCUAUUGUUAUUUAUUGUGUGGCGGUUUCAUGCUGUACUCGCGCGGCCCGGCCCUCGCCCGGGAGUGCGUGUGUGUGUGCGUGUGUGUCUGUGUGUGUGUGUGUGUAUAUGUGAGCGCGCGCGCGUGUGUGACCAAGUGAGUGUGUUUGCGGGGGUGCGCGCGCGGGCGGGAGUGGGCGCGCUCGGGGAAAGGCCCGAAAACACCUUAGUUUGCACCGAGAGACCAUUUGCUGCGGGUGAGUUUGUAUUUUUCCAUUUCUGCUCCACUUUUUCCCAAGCCGCCUCCUGCCUUGUUUCCGACCACUUUAAACAACAAAAACAACAACCAAAAAAAAAAAAAAAAAAAAAGAAAGAAAGAAAGAAAAGAAAAGAAAAAAAAUAUCUACUUUCCAUCUCCCAGCUCCACGUGCAUCUCCCCCAGCCCUCCCCAGAGGCAGCCUCUCUCUUCCCAGGGUCAGGGCCAGGCUCUGGGGUGGGUGGGGGCUGCAGUCGCCUCGGGGGUGGAGGGGUUUCCAGGGGCACUGCUCUCGGGUGUAUUUCCAUAAGUCAAAUGGGGGGUGGGGCGGCGAAGGCAGCGGCGAGGAGGCAAUCUCGCCUUCCCCGUGGCCCCUUCACGCGUUGUUCUGCACUCGCCGUGGAGAGAGAAAUCGAUAAGCCCAGGCGGCCUGGCGUAACUUUCAGUGUCCGUUGUUGGGGUGCCUGUCGAGUAGCUGCCGGGAGGGCGCAGGGCCCGGGGUCAGGUCCACGGCGGGAGGGGGGCGCGCUGCUGGGUGCUUCUCUAGCCCAAAGUUUGGACUUGGAGCAAACUUUUUCCCUUCGCUCAACUGCUAGUGUUUGUCCCCUCUAUGCCCUGGGGCUGCUCCUUGGGCCUCAGCAGAAUGACUGGGGAUGUCCGCGCCCUAGGCCCCACGGCUGGGGACGUCUCUAG
RNAcentral lists this long non-coding RNA (1128 nucleotides) under Bos indicus x Bos taurus (hybrid cattle). RNAcentral's name for it is "lncRNA (ENSBIXG00005031338.1)". The record is from RNAcentral. Lineage: Eukaryota; Metazoa; Chordata; Mammalia; Artiodactyla; Bovidae.